Small nuclear RNA from Sorex fumeus (smoky shrew), 107 nucleotides. The record is from RefSeq and is a predicted model, not a curated record. NCBI's taxonomy places the organism in Eukaryota, Metazoa, Chordata, Mammalia, Eulipotyphla, Soricidae.
GUGCUUGCUUCGGCAGCAUAUAUACUAAAAUUGGAAUGAUACGGAGAAGAUUAGCAUGGCCCCUGCUCAAGGAUGACAUGCAAAUUUGUAAAGCAUUUCAUAUAUAU